RNAcentral lists this unclassified non-coding RNA (347 nucleotides) under uncultured Trechispora. RNAcentral's name for it is "sequence contains ITS1". The stretch from base 1 to 105 matches the Rfam family "5.8S ribosomal RNA", at positions 50 to 154 of the family's 154-position model. Lineage: Eukaryota; Fungi; Basidiomycota; Agaricomycetes; Polyporales; Polyporaceae. The record is from RNAcentral.
GAAAUGCGAUAAGUAAUGUGAAUUGCAGAAUUCAGUGAAUCAUCGAAUCUUUGAACGCACCUUGCGCUCCUUGGUAUUCCGAGGAGCAUGCCUGUUUGAGUGUCUUGAAAUCCUCAAGCCCUCGGGUUUGCGCCCGAGUGGUUUGGACUCUUGGGGGUUUUGUGCUGCCUUUCCGGCGGCUCCCCUUAAAUGCAUCGGCUGCGGUGAGCAUCGGUCAAGGCGUUGUACCUUCCUCGUCUUCGAAUCGCCGGUGCCUCUCCUCUGCGGCUUCGACCUGCCCGUUGGGUGGCGGUCAGCACUUCUAGAGAUCUGACCUCAAAUCAGGUAGGACUACCCGCUGAACUUAA